RNAcentral lists this ribosomal RNA (257 nucleotides) under uncultured Gardnerella sp. Its description in RNAcentral is "partial 16S ribosomal RNA". It matches the Rfam family "Bacterial small subunit ribosomal RNA", at positions 99 to 355 of the family's 1533-position model. Lineage: Bacteria; Bacillati; Actinomycetota; Actinomycetes; Bifidobacteriales; Bifidobacteriaceae. The record is from RNAcentral.
CGAACGGGUGAGUAAUACGUGACCAACCUGCCCCAUGCUCCAGAAUAGCUCUUGGAAACGGGUGGUAAUGCUGGAUGCUCCAACUUGACGCAUGUCUUGUUGGGAAAGUGUUUAGUGGCAUGGGAUGGGGUCGCGUCCUAUCAGCUUGUAGGCGGGGUAAUGGCCCACCUAGGCUUCGACGGGUAGCCGGCCUGAGAGGGCGGACGGCCACAUUGGGACUGAGAUACGGGCCCAGACUCCUACGGGAGGCAGCAGUC